This 450-nucleotide ribosomal RNA is filed under the name uncultured bacterium. Its description in RNAcentral is "partial 16S ribosomal RNA". It matches the Rfam family "Bacterial small subunit ribosomal RNA", at positions 354 to 796 of the family's 1533-position model. The record is from RNAcentral.
GUGGGGAAUUUUGGACAAUGGGCGCAAGCCUGAUCCAGCAAUGCCGCGUGCAGGAAGAAGGCCUUCGGGUUGUAAACUGCUUUUGUACGGAACGAAACGGUCCUGGCUAAUACCUGGGGCUAAUGACGGUACCGUAAGAAUAAGCACCGGCUAACUACGUGCCAGCAGCCGCGGUAAUACGUAGGGUGCGAGCGUUAAUCGGAAUUACUGGGCGUAAAGCGUGCGCAGGCGGUCCUGUAAGACAGGCGUGAAAUCCCCGGGCUCAACCUGGGAAUUGCGCUUGUGACUGCAGUGCUGGAGUGCGGCAGAGGGGGAUGGAAUUCCGCGUGUAGCAGUGAAAUGCGUAGAUAUGCGGAGGAACACCGAUGGCGAAGGCAAUCCCCUGGGCCUGCACUGACGCUCAUGCACGAAAGCGUGGGGAGCAAACAGGAUUAGAUACCCUAGUAGUCC